GCGAACGCUGGCGGCGUGCUUAACACCUGCAAGUCGCACGGAAAGGCCCUGCUUUUGUGGGGUGCUCGAGUGGCGAACGGGUGAGUAACACGUGAGUAACCUGCCCUUGACUUUGGGAUAACUUCAGGAAACUGGGGCUAAUACCGGAUAGGAGCUCCUGCUGCAUGGUGGGGGUUGGAAAGUUUCGGCGGUUGGGGAUGGACUCGCGGCUUAUCAGCUUGUUGGUGGGGUAGUGGCUUACCAAGGCUUUGACGGGUAGCCGGCCUGAGAGGGUGACCGGCCACAUUGGGACUGAGAUACGGCCCAGACUCCUACGGGAGGCAGCAGUGGGGAAUAUUGCACAAUGGGCGGAAGCCUGAUGCAGCAACGCCGCGUGCGGGAUGACGGCCUUCGGGUUGUAAACCGCUUUCGCCUGUGACGAAGCGUGAGUGACGGUAAUGGGUAAAGAAGCACCGGCUAACUACGUG
This 467-nucleotide ribosomal RNA is filed under the name uncultured bacterium. Its description in RNAcentral is "partial 16S ribosomal RNA". It matches the Rfam family "Bacterial small subunit ribosomal RNA", at positions 30 to 507 of the family's 1533-position model. The record is from RNAcentral.